RNAcentral lists this ribosomal RNA (433 nucleotides) under uncultured bacterium. Its description in RNAcentral is "partial 16S ribosomal RNA". It matches the Rfam family "Bacterial small subunit ribosomal RNA", at positions 29 to 507 of the family's 1533-position model. The record is from RNAcentral.
AACGAACGCUGGCGGCAUGCCUAACACAUGCAAGUCGAACGAGACCUCCGGGUCUAGUGGCGCACGGGUGCGUAACGCGUGGGAACCUGCCCUUAGGUUCGGAAUAACUCCCCGUAAGGGGUGCUAAUACCGGAUAAUGUCUUCGGACCAAAGAUUUAUCGCCUUUGGAUGGGCCCGCGUUGGUUUAGCUAGUUGGUAGGGUAAAAGCCUACCAAGGCGACGAUCCAUAGCUGGUCUGAGAGGAUGAUCAGCCACACUGGGACUAAGACACGGCCCAGACUCCUACGGGAGGCAGCAGUGGGGAAUAUAGGACGAUGGGCGAAAGCCUGAUCCAGCAAUGCCGCGUAAGUGAUGAAGGCGUUAGGGUUGUAAAGCUCUUUUACCCGGGAUGAUAAUGACAGUACCGGGAGAAUAAGCUCCGGCUAACUCCGUG